CUCCUUUGACGUUAGCGGCGGACGGGUGAGUAACACGUGGGUAACCUACCUAUAAGACUGGGAUAACUUCGGGAAACCGGAGCUAAUACCGGAUAAUAUUUCGAACCGCAUGGUUCGAUAGUGAAAGGUGGUUUUGCUAUCACUUAUAGAUGGACCCGCGCCGUAUUAGCUAGUUGGUAAGGUAACGGCUUACCAAGGCGACGAUACGUAGCCGACCUGAGAGGGUGAUCGGCCACACUGGAACUUAGACACGGUCCAGACUCCUACGGGAGGCAGCAGGG
RNAcentral lists this ribosomal RNA (281 nucleotides) under uncultured Staphylococcus sp. Its description in RNAcentral is "partial 16S ribosomal RNA". It matches the Rfam family "Bacterial small subunit ribosomal RNA", at positions 81 to 354 of the family's 1533-position model. The record is from RNAcentral. Lineage: Bacteria; Bacillati; Bacillota; Bacilli; Caryophanales; Staphylococcaceae.